UACGGAGGGUGCUAGCGUUGUUCGGAAUCACUGGGCGUAAAGGGCGUGUAGGCGGUCUGUUAAGUCUGAUGUGAAAGUCCGGGGCUCAACUCCGGAUCUGCGGUGGGUACGGGCAGACUAGAGUGAUGUAGGGGAGACUGGAAUUCCUGGUGUAGCGGUGAAAUGCGCAGAUAUCGGGAGGAACACCGGUGGCGAAGGCGGCCUUCUGGACGGAUACUGACGCUGAGACGCGAAAGCGUGGGGAGCAAACAGG
This 253-nucleotide ribosomal RNA is filed under the name uncultured bacterium. RNAcentral's name for it is "partial 16S ribosomal RNA". It matches the Rfam family "Bacterial small subunit ribosomal RNA", at positions 524 to 776 of the family's 1533-position model. The record is from RNAcentral.